Spea bombifrons (plains spadefoot toad) is the source of this 1028-nucleotide long non-coding RNA. RefSeq lists it as uncharacterized. The record is from RefSeq and is a predicted model, not a curated record. NCBI's taxonomy places the organism in Eukaryota, Metazoa, Chordata, Amphibia, Anura, Pelobatidae. The transcript has 2 exons.
CUGCUUUAGUAAUUUCUUAAGAUAGUAUUCCAUAGUCCUCAGAUGACAGAGCUGUUAUAUAGCACGCGGCUUUGAAGCAAAGCACACUAAAACCUUGUAUGGGUUCAAUCAAGAUUCUUCCAUCAUAUGUCUUCACGGCCACAAAAUCGUCAUCUUCUGGCUAGCCUGGCAGGUUUCAUCUCCACAUUUUACCUUCUCACUUGACUUCACUUCUAUUUCAACCAAGUUAUACUAGUAGUAAAAAGUGAAGAGCUAAAAAAUGGCAUCGAGUAGAGCCACGGGAUGGGAAAAUAAAAAGCCAAUGGAUGUAAAUAAAAUUUACAGGUUUUAAUCAACUUAAGCUGCUUGGUCUUAUUUCCUUUUUUAAUGUUUGCCAAAAUAAACUGUCCAGACGUUGCUGAGACUGACAAAUGAAAACUACUCUGGAACCCUGAAGCUGCAAGGAGAGGUAAAGCAAAUAAGAUGCCCCAUUUUUUGGUGCAAAGCCAGCUUUUAUUGUGCUGGUUUUAGGUCAGUAUAGAGGUAGUUGAACAGAAACAGACCUUAGUGGUUGUACUUGCCAUUUACUAUUGUUACUGCUUAGUACUGGCAGAUUCUUGGCUUCUUUUACAACAAAAUAAUCCAAAAUUAACAAUAACAUGAACAAACAUGAGAUUUACAAGCAAAAAAAAAAAAGAGUCUGAGAAGUUGAGACAGAAGGUGAAGGACUCUUGGAUGAAGAUGAUUUGAGAUGUUCAGUGUUGCAAAGAUCUUGAAGGUGAGGGCAAUAGGUGGCUUCGUUCUAAAAUGCAGAUGAUGAAAUUCUGGGUUUUGAGUGGGUGUUUAAAGGCAGAAUUAGUAGGAGGAAAUUUAUAAAUGGAAUCAUUUUUUAUUGUUUAAGUGUGUUUAUUCUCAGAACAAGUCAAACUCCCUUAUUUAGUCUGAAAAUACAUACUUGUAUACUUUUCCAAAAUCAAAUUUAAGAUCUGGUCCACAGCCUUUUCAGUGUGCAAACCCAAAAACACAAUGUUGGCAUAAACGUAAAGCAA